CUGCCCGCGGGGGGCGGCCCCGGGCCCGGGCGGCCGGCGUGGGCGAGCCCGGGACUGAGCAGCAGGAGCGGGCCGACAGCCGGCGCUGGAGCGGGACCGGAGGCGCCCCUCCCAGGUCGCUGCCCGGGGCUCCGGGGCCGUGUGUACCCGGGAGCUUUCCAGCGGGCCUCGGUGGAGACGUGACCCUGCCAGGUGUUUGUGGGCACCUUUUUGAUCUUAUGUUCUCUGUGCAUUCCUGUGUCGCCGGAGAAGAGGACUCCGACCUCCGUGCCACUUGUCAUACGUGGCCGUGAGCUGUCUUCUGCCGCUGGUUGGAUACAGGCUGUUAACAUUUUUUUUUUUUUUUUUUUAAGAGUCAAGGUUUUUCUCCGUGGCAGGAGUUUACAGCUGUAUAAAAUUGUCAAUCCUUCUUUUUCGGGAGGAAAGCAUUAAAAACCUUGGAUAGUUAAGGGAUGAGUAUAAUGCAGACACAAUCAGGGAGUAUUUGUUGGCUGUUUUUUGAGAAAAGGAUUCAAGUUGAGGGCAUGUACACAGUGGAAAAAAAUGUUUAACACGAGCAUGUUAUAUUGAUUCCAGCUUUGUUCCUCCCUUUCCCAAACCCCAUUUUGUGUUGUUUCUCGCUUUUGGUGAUUCUGAUGUUUUCCAAGACUCGGGCGUCCUUUUCAUGGAAGGUUCAGUGUGUUCUGUCCUUUGUGGUGAAGGCUAAUGGAGGUCACGAGGGUACCAGACACUUCGGGUACAAUAUGCUUUGUAAUAUGCAGAAAAUGUCUGCUCUGUAUAGAUCCAGAUCACAUUUAAAGGUGUAAGUACAUCAUACCGGAGUGAUCGUGGACGUUGUGAAUAGAAAUAAUCACAACCUCUUCUUAAUUCCACAUGUCGUGUUAGCUAAGCACUUGCACUGUAUCUUAGUUUCUCUGAAUAGCAGCAAAAAUGCAUGUUUUAAUACUAGGGUUGUAGUGUGGCACUCCACGUUGAAUAAAAUGCAGUUUAAAUAGCAUCCCAAUUCCACAAUAUACUAAUUACUUACUACCAUUGGGAAGUGAUGAUAGAGGGUGAUAAAUUAUAGAUAUAUAGAAAAAAUAGUUGACACAUUUCCCAGAAUAUAACUGCACUUCAAUUUGCUGUAAUUUAGACAGUCUUAAUAUCAGUUUGGCUAACGCUAUACUUGUAAUUAUCUCUCCGAUCAUUUGGUAUCCACUCUUUAUGGAUUAAAGGUGUUAAGGAGAAUUAGGUUGCAAAACCUUUUCAAUUCAGGCAUUUGCUAAAAAGCUGGUGAAAAUAAAUUUAGAGGGUGGAGUUGGUUUUGCAGGAAUAGAGACUCAGAUUAAAUGGCACAAGGAAGUUAAACUGAAUGCUUCUAAAUAGGAUUGUGAGGUCUGCCAGUUUGGAUUCUGGGUUCACAAACACUAGUGGUUUCACCUGCAGACCACAAAUUCUAAUAGUGUUGCAAAGUUAUCACUUAAUUUCUUCUGAUCAGCUUUAAGUAACAUAUAUUUGGACAGAAACCCAGCUGAAGCAAGCAUUGAGAACUGUGAAGGUUUAUACUCGUUUUUAUAGAGGGAACACUGAGGAAUUAGUGCAUUAAUAAAGUUUAUUAGCAAAGACCAAGAUCUGUAUUUUCUAACUCCUCUAAUAAGUGUUCCCCACCCCCCCGAAAAGCACACAUCAUUUUAUAUAUCUUUAUGAUGUGUGUCCUUAUUAUAUUCUAAUGAGAUGAUAAUGUGCUCUUAGAAGAUUUAUCAUUUGAGAUGUGAAUGUUCCUGCGAGGAAAUUUUUCCUGUUCAUUUCCACAUUUAAAACAUUGUUUUAAGUGGAUAGGGAAUUGGUUCAUUAACUGAAUCUUGCUAAGCAAGCAGCAUCUGAUGCUUUGUAAUUUAUUGUGGCCCAGUGGUGUCUGAAGCCUUGUCACAAAAUAGAGAUGCCAGAAGGAACCUCUUGGGUUCUUUUAGACCAGUGUGUCUCAACUGCGUGUGAUUUUGCAUCCAAGGAGAUAUUUUCAGUUUCUGGACACAUUUUUGGUUGUUGCAACUUGGGGGUUGGUGGUGGGAGGAGGGAGUGUUACUGGCAUGGGACAGGUAGAGGCCAAGGAUGCUGCUAAACAUUCUAUAGUGCAUGGGGCAGCCCCAUAAACAACAAAGAAUUAUCUGGCUAAAAUGUCAGUAGUGCUGGGGUUGAGAAAUCCUGUUUUGGAGUGCCAGGUGGGAAACAAGAAGGUCCAGCUUCACUUCAGGCCUCUAUUUUCUUCAUGUGUAAAAUAGAAAUAAAAAUACCCACCUUGGCUAUCUUGCAAAGGUGUUGGGGAAAAUCAGGUAAAUAAUGCAUGGAAACUGUGAAGUGCUGCACAAAUGAUAACUACUAUGAAGACAUUUAAAAAAAAAUACAUAUAUAUAUUUUUGCUGAGGAAGAUUGGCCCUGAGCUAACGUCUGUGUCAGUCUUCCCCUAUUUUAUAUGUGGGUUGCUGCCACAGCAUGGCUGACAAGUGGUGUAGGCCCGCACCUGGAAUCUGAAUCCUCUAACCCGGGCCAUCGAAGCAGAGCACACCAAGCUUAACCACUGUGCCACAGGGCCAGCCCAUGAGGUGAUUUUUUAUAAAUGUCUUGCUAGGAUGGUAUACUGGUAGUUGAGGAAGAGGAUUAGUGUAAUGUGGUGAGUGAAAAGAUUGGAUAGUUUGGUAUUGAUUCCUUUGUUAUUUUUGGGGGGAAAGGGUUUAUUUAAUGCAGUUUUCAUAUUAUUAGAACAGACUUUUUAGCUCUGUAAUUUCUUUUAACAUAAAGAUUAUGUUCUCAUAACAAGAGGGAAAGCUCACUGUAGAAAAAUUAGAAUAUAUAGGAAAGCAGAAAGUAGAGGAGAAAAGGCAUCUGUGGUCUUCCCCUUCACCCUGCAAUGACAGUCAGGUUCUUCUAGACUUCCUUACUGUUAGAGUUGGUAAAAUCAGAAGAAGGGUUGAUGAUGGAAAAAGGGGGAGCAGCUGGUGAUGGGGGGGGGUGCCGUUUGUUUCUGUGCCCUUCGUUUUCUCUUUUUUAAUAAUUACGAGUUGCAGGUAAGUUCCGUCAGAGGAGACAGCGAAGUUGGUUCUUGUUUUCAUGCUUGUGGCUCACCUCGAGGCCUUGAUCUCGUUCCCCGUGCCGUUUCCUCUCUGUCGUGCUCCCCCCGCAUUCGGCUAGGUGUGCCACUGUUGCUUCCUGUCUCAAAAACCCUACGGUAACACGGGCUUUUAAGCAGCUGCCAUGUUGAAAUGACCGGCUUGCAGGGGCAGGAAGCUGCCUCCUCUGAGCAGUCUUCCCUCUGAAGGGCGCCAGCCUUCUUGGCCUUUGAGGCACGAGAAAGCCUACGACGCUAAGUUCAUUUCCGUGGUCUGUUUACCUCUAAGGGUUUAGGACCUGUGAUCCUCAGCAACUGGCAGUGGGCACACAUUUUUCCUAGGUGCUCUGUGAGCAGUUUGCGCAGCCCGAGGCAAGACCUGCUUUAGAAGCAAAAUGAAAAUUUCUUUAAGUUUACUCUAGCCAGAAGACAGAGCUGGGCUUUGUUGGGAUAUUUUUAAUCCGUCGUAACUGAAUUUGCUUAACAGUCGUAUCCACACAGCACGUUGUUCAGUCAUUUGUUCGUUCACGAGAGACUUGCUGAGCUCCCAGUCUGAGACUCAGAGUGAAUAAACAGACAGAACAAAAUAGGCGAGAACCCAUGCCCUCAUAGGGGUUACCGUCUACUGGGAGACCCUUGGGCCUGUUCAUUCCAAGUUCCUCAGUUGCAGAUUAUACACAUAUGAAUAAGUAAAUCCUGCUUUCUGAUUGUAAAAUCUUCCUAGAAACCUUCCUGGCCCUCCUUUAAAGUCUGAGGACUAAAAAGUACCUUCCCCUUUUUCAUCCUUUUUUUAUAUUAUGAUUAACUCAUUUUCUGUGUAUACAAACAUUUCUUCGGGACCCACUAAGUUCCUGGCAGAUGGAUAAGACUUCGUGUGGAAAUGAGCCUGCUGUAUGGAGCUGUAACAGUGGGGUGACGUUAUAGUAGGGUUUGAAAUUAAAAGCACCGGGACCCUUGAAGAGAGCUAAAACCCUGCUUGGAGCCCUUGUCCAAUGCUUUUUGGAAGAGGUUUCACUUGAGUUGGGCCUUGAGUGUGUAGGAGUUCUCUUGCUUAGGGGUGGGAAGGAAAUCUAGGCAGAGAUACAGUGUGAGCAGAGGCACAGAGGUGAGUGUGUACGUGGUGUGGGUGACACACUUGGAGGCAGCCACUGUGACGGAGAGGAGAGCAGUAGGAUGCAGCGGAAGGAGGUGAGGCUGGGCGUGUAGGGGGGGCUGGACAGCGAGGACUGGAGUCUGCUCAGGUCUGCGAGCAGUGUGAGGUUGGGGGCUGUGGCCUGUGUGGAGUGAAUGGGAAGCCAUUCAUCAUUUUUUUUUUUUUUUAAAGAUUUUAUUUUUUCCUUUUUCUCCCCAAAGCCCACCAGUACAUAGUUGUAUAUUCUUCGUUGUGGGUCCUUCUAGUUGUGGCAUGUGGGACGCUGCCUCAGCGUGGUCUGACGAGCAGUGCCAUGUCCACGCCCAGGAUUCGAACCAACGAAACACUGGGCUGCUUGCAGCGGAGCGUGCGAACUUAACCACUCGGCCACGGGGCCAGCCCCCAAGCCAUUCAUCAUUUUUGAGCUCAUGAAUAACCUCAUUAGCAAAUGGAACAGCUGUGAAGCCCUGAGAGUUGCAUAAAGGACCAGCUUCCGUUGACCAUCGUGCUGCUGUCUUCCUCCUCUCCAUCACAGAACAUAUUUCUUACUUACCCAUCACGUCUCAACCCUCCAGAAGACUGCUAGGAAACAGGAACUGCUUAGAGCCAGAGGAGGUUCCAGGAGGUGCGCAUAUGCUUUCCUUCUUUUCCUUUUAAUUUAUAGAGGACUUGUUGACAGUCUAACUGAUUUUCAAGUCAACAGGAGAUUAACAACAAGGAAUGUUAAGUUGUUGGGAGGAUGAAUGAGGAAGGCAUGUUCUCUGAGGCAGGCCGAGUUAAUUUUUAUCUUGGAAGUGAAUAAGGAGCAGAAGGUUUAUGAAAAGCAGAACCGUAACUCCAAAAGUGAAACAGAGUGGGUGGGGCCGUUCGGUGGAGGGGCAAAUGCCCUCGUAAAUACCCUGGCAAGUCGAAGGUGUCAGUGUCACAGCGCAGUACAGUAAGUGGUAUUGGUAGCCAUGACCAGGCCAUUAAGAAGUCCAGUUGUGGAGCAUAAUGGAAAUGAGGUGAGCGAGGUCUGGUCCCUAGCAGAAAAGGGCGACUGUGGGGGUUGGGAGGUUGGGGGGUGUGCAGGUGGUGGGUGGAGGUGGGGG
Molecule: long non-coding RNA, 5305 nt
Organism: Equus caballus (horse)
Lineage: Eukaryota; Metazoa; Chordata; Mammalia; Perissodactyla; Equidae
Source: Ensembl